Molecule: ribosomal RNA, 2211 nt
Filed under: Flavobacterium glycines
Lineage: Bacteria; Pseudomonadati; Bacteroidota; Flavobacteriia; Flavobacteriales; Flavobacteriaceae
Description: bacterial LSU rRNA
Rfam family: Bacterial large subunit ribosomal RNA
Source: RNAcentral
UACAAUAAGCAAAAUAAGGGCGUAUGGGGGAUGCCUAGGCUCUCAGAGGCGAUGAAAGGCGUGAUAAGCUGCGAAAAGCUACGGGGAUCUGCACACAAGACUUGAUCCGUAGAUACCUGAAUGGGGCAACCCACUAUGUUGAAGACAUAGUACACCGAUAGGUGGGCAAACCCGCUGAACUGAAACAUCUAAGUAGGCGGAGGAGAAGAAAACAAAAGUGAUUCCGUAAGUAGUGGCGAGCGAACGCGGAUUAGCCCAAACCAAAGUUGUUACGGCAAUUUUGGGGUUGUAGGACCACGACAUUUCUUGCAUGCGGAACUAGAACUUACUGGAAAGUAAGACCAAAGAGAGUGAUAGUCUCGUAUAGGUAACAAUUGUAAAGGAUAGUGGUAUCCUGAGUAGGGCGGGGCACGUGAAACCCUGUCUGAAUUUGGCGGGACCAUCCGCUAAGGCUAAAUACUCCUGAGAGACCGAUAGUGAACCAGUACUGUGAAGGAAAGGUGAAAAGAACCGUGAAUAACGGAGUGAAAUAGAUCCUGAAACCAUACGCUUACAAGCGGUCGGAGCUUCUUCGUGAAGUGACGGCGUGCCUUUUGCAUAAUGAGCCUACGAGUUAACGUUGCUGGCAAGGAUAAGCACUUCAGGUGUGGAUCCGUAGCGAAAGCGAGUCUGAAUAGGGCGCUUUAGUCAGUAGUGUUAGACGCGAAACCGUGUGAUCUACCCAUGGGCAGGUUGAAGCUGUGGUAACACACAGUGGAGGACCGAACCGGUUGACGUUGAAAAGUCUUCGGAUGACCUGUGGGUAGGGGUGAAAGGCCAAUCAAACUCGGAAAUAGCUCGUACUCCCCGAAAUGCAUUUAGGUGCAGCGCUGAGCAUAAAGUUAUAUAGAGGUAGAGCUACUGAUUGGAUGCGGGGGCUUCACCGCCUACCAAUUCCUGACAAACUCCGAAUGCUAUAUAAUGUUUCUCAGCAGUGAGGGCUUGGGUGCUAAGGUCCAAGUCCGAGAGGGAAAGAACCCAGACCAUCAGCUAAGGUCCCCAAAUGUAUGCUAAGUUGAAAGAACGCGGUUUGUCUGCCCAGACAGCUAGGAUGUUGGCUUGGAAGCAGCCAUUCAUUUAAAGAGUGCGUAACAGCUCACUAGUCGAGCGGACGAGCAUGGAUAAUAAUCGGGCAUAAGUAUACUACCGAAGCUAUGGAUUUCUAGUAAUAGAAGUGGUAGGGGAGCAUUCUAACAGGGUUGAAGGUAUCUCGUCAGGGUUGCUGGACUGGUUAGAAAAGAAAAUGUAGGCAUAAGUAACGAUAAUGCGGGCGAGAAACCCGCACACCGAAAGACUAAGGUUUCCACAGCUAUGCUAAUCAGCUGUGGGUUAGUCGGGACCUAAGGCGAACCCGAAAGGGACAGUCGAUGGCCAACGGGUUAAUAUUCCCGUACUACUGAAUACUGUGAUGGGGUGACGGAGUGAUGAAAGCGCCGCGAACUGACGGAAUAGUUCGUUAAAGCACCUAGCUAUAAGAUUUAUAGGCAAAUCCGUAAAUCUUGGUGAAAUGCGAUAGUACACGGAGUCUUCGGACGAAGUGAUAGUGCGCCUAAGGGCUUCCAAGAAAAACCUCUAAACUUCAGGUAUUUAGUACCCGUACCGUAAACCGACACAGGUAGUUGGGAUGAGAAUUCUAAGGUGCUCGAGAGAUUCAUGGCUAAGGAAUUAGGCAAAAUAGACCCGUAACUUCGGGAGAAGGGUCGCCCCGAGUAAUCGGGGCCGCAGUGAAGAGGUCCAGGCGACUGUUUAUCAAAAACACAGGGCUCUGCAAAAUCGUAAGAUGAAGUAUAGGGCCUGACACCUGCCCGGUGCUGGAAGGUUAAGAGGAGAUGUUAUCUUCGGAGAAGCAUUGAAUUGAAGCCCCAGUAAACGGCGGCCGUAACUAUAACGGUCCUAAGGUAGCGAAAUUCCUUGUCGGGUAAGUUCCGACCUGCACGAAUGGUGUAACGAUCUGGACACUGUCUCAGCCAUGAGCUCGGUGAAAUUGUAGUAACGGUGAAGAUGCCGUUUACCCGCAGUGGGACGAAAAGACCCUGUGCACCUUUACUAUAGCUUAGUAUUGACCUUGGAUAAAUGAUGUGUAGGAUAGGUUGGAGACUGUGAAGUGGCGUCGCCAGGCGUUGUGGAGUCAUUGUUGAAAUACAACCCUUUGUUUAUCUGAGGCCUAACUCC